RNAcentral lists this long non-coding RNA (19215 nucleotides) under Capsella grandiflora. RNAcentral's name for it is "long non-coding RNA (CGRA_LNC000049)". Lineage: Eukaryota; Viridiplantae; Streptophyta; Magnoliopsida; Brassicales; Brassicaceae. The record is from RNAcentral.
GGAGAAUCAGCCAUAAACAAACUUUUGAUCAGAAAAAAAAAAUAACAUUACAGAACUUUUACAAGUGAGCUUAAUUAAUAGACUUGUCCUAAACCAAGAAACCAUGAGGAAACCUAAUGCUUACAAAUGAUCAACUAAAUAGUCUGGAAACCCCAUAUAAGAAACCAAAGAAACCAAUAGAAAUUUAUAAGAUAUAAGAAUUUCAAAUUAUUAUUUUUUCCAAAUAUAAUGAAUAUAAUCAAAGUUAGAUGAAGAAACUUACAUUGUCGAUGGUAUCAAAGAGCUUCGUGGUGAGAUCCUUGAGGGGCUUCUUCUCGUCCUUGGGUUUGGAGGAAAUGAUUGUGUUAAGGUCAUAACGAAGAUAAGAAGCCUUGGAACGGAGAUCGUUCUGAACAUAUGGCCAAGCUUUCUUUUCGAUCAGUGACUUCACAUUUAUGAUAUCCUUGGCUGACUCUUUGGCUCUAGCUGCAGCUUCUGUUGGUGGCAAUGGCUGUAAAUAAAAUCUGUUUUUCAAUGCCAAUGAAAAGUCUCUUGCUUGGUCUGAGUUAUCUGUCCCAGCUGCUCAUUAAAACAAAACACAAUGUUGUCACCAUAGAAAAUAUAUAUAACCAUUAACCAUCUUUAAGUGUUAUCUAUUGUCUAUGCUUAUAUUUCAGUUACUCUAAGCUACAAGUAACAAAAAGAGAACUAGAAAACCAAAACCAAAACCAAACCAAUCUCAAAUCAAGAUUAAACAUUAUUCUUCUUCAUUCCCACUCAGAACACAUGCUUGAUUAUUAUGAACUCUAUCAAUUCUUAUAUAAAAAAGGAUUAAGCAGCAACAUUGUAACUUGAAGUUACUAACUUGUAAGCUUACAACAAUGUAUCAUAUUUUAAGAUAAAUUAAGCAAAGGUUGUUCAUCUAGAUUGCUUAACCUAAAUUACGUUUCCUAAUCUCAUAAGUCAUAACAAAAAUGAGAAAGGUAAUCAAUCGUUUUGAAAGAUUAGAUAGUUGACUUACGAAGACCACCGGAAGGAGGUGGAGGAGGGCCAACUUUGAUCGGAUUAGCAUCAGCUAGGACAGCCUGAACAAACGAUCCUCCGACCAAACCAGCAGCCACAAGUCCAAUCACAGAUCGACGAGAAGUCUCCUCACUCUGCUGAGCUCUGACCACAAGUCUAGACCUUUGAGCCACCGACACUCUUCCGGUAACGUUCAUCAGACGGCUCGAGCCGUUGAUCUUGCUUCCUUCAAGAACCGCCGGUGAGGCACCACGUAAUCCACCCAUUGAAGCCAUUUUUCUUUAUCUUUUUCAAGACGAAAAUUGAACGCAAUGAUGAUUGGCUAUAACGCUUAUAUGGUUGGUAAGCUUCAGUCUCCGACACAGAGCGCCUUAUCUGCACUUUAGAUAACUUGGAUAUGGUUUUGACCACUGAUGUUAAGCCAUGUGUCAUCUUCGUUCUUCUGUUCGGCCUAAAAGCCACGUGGCAAGAAGGACAUUUAAAUAUAUUGGGCCGGUUACUUUAGUUUACAGGCCUUUAGCCCAUAAUAUUUUUCUUUUAUUUUUCUAAAUAAUUUGUGUUAAAACUAGCGAAAGAAGGAAAUGAGAAUAUCGUUAUAAUAAUUCCAAAAGUCCGCCACAUCUAAUUUCAAAAUCGUUUCGAAUUUCAAAACUACAGGCUCCUGCUUCAGUCUCUCACACAAAAACACACAAAAAAUCCCCAAAUUAGGAAAAAGCAAGAACCCUAGAUCCUCGUCUUCGAUUGAGAAGUUCGCAGUCUGAUUCUCUGAGAAUCAAUCGGAGACUGCUGCUAGAGGACACUGCGUCAUUAAAUCGAAUUUUGGGAGAAGACUCCGAUUUGGAAUUUGUAUGCGAUUGACGAGAGAGGAAGGAGACGAGAUCUGUAAGAAAUUUUGNNNNNNNNNNNNNNNNNNNNNNNNNNNNNNNNNNNNNNNNNNNNNNNNNNNNNNNNNNNNNNNNNNNNNNNNNNNNUCGUAUUUAGGGUGUUGUUCAGUUGACCAGAUGAAACUAUUAUGGUCUUAUUCUCAUCGGCUUUGACAUUUCUUAUCGAGAAAUUUAGGGUAGUUGUGGUGGGUUCUGGGAUUCUACUUUUCCUGUAGCUGAAUAUGAGUCUCCUUACAAAAUUGAUGUAACAUAUGUCGCUUUACUUGCUUUGUGUAUGAUUUAUGUUUGAUGAUUUGGUCUCAUUUCAGAAAAAGGAGGGUCGCAAUGGUAUUCCAUUUGACAAGCGAAGGAAAGUGGAAGCGCAAGGGACUGGGAGAAGACAAGCGUUUUCUUCUGUGAACAAACAAGAUAUCACGACGAACAGUGAUGUUGGCAGCACAGAAGACUUUGGUAAAGUAGAGUUUACCAAAGAUGAAGUAUUGGCUUUGCUAAGUGAGAGAGCAAAAGCUGGGAAGUUUGAUACGAAGGUUUAUUAACUAGUUAAAACUUGCUCUAUGCUCUUAAACAUUGUAGAUGUUUUCUUCUGUGGUUUCACUCAGAAGAUCUUUUUUUUUUCCUCUGUCCCUACAGGCUAAGAUUGAGCAAUUGACAGAUAUUAUCAAGAGACUGAAGGGUUGUGUGAAAUGGUACCAACAAGCUGACGAAACCCAUGUCCAAGACAAGGAAAAUUUGAAGGUUUCUCUAGAAUCUGCUGAACAAAAAUACAACCACAAAGGUGAUUUUCUUUCUUGUGAUUCCUUUACAUGAAACAAGUUGUUCACGGAUUUGAUUGUAGUCCUUAACUUUUAAAAUUUUUAUAGAGUUGGAGGCUAAGACAAAAGAAGAAGAGCUACAGGCCACUAUAUCAAUUUUAGAAGAGCAUGUAGAGUCACUACAUGAUAAGCUUGCAAAGGAGGAGUCUAGUAAACAGGCAAGGCAUCUUUUUUCUCCUUGCGAACGUUUUCUCUUAAUACAAAUCUUUAAUAGAGUUUGCUUGCCUCUUGCUUCUUGGGCACUAGGAUGCCAUCGAAUGCCAUAGAAGAGAAAAAGAAUCUAGAGUUGCAGCUGAGAAAGUGCAGGCUUCUCUCAGAGAAGAACUUGAUAAAGUUAAAGAAGAGAAAAUGACUGCCCAGCAGAAGGUAUAUAACAUAUGUCUUCAGUUAUCUUCUUUAGGUGUUUCAUUUCUAUGUCUCGUGUUAGUUUCACAUGAACUGUUAGUUACCAAGGAAAAUUGGUUGUUUUAUAUUUGUAGGUCACGUCACUUGAGGAUAUGUACAAAAGGCUGCAAGAGUAUAACACAAGUUUGCAACAAUAUAACAGCAAACUGCAGACUGAUCUUGAAACCGUUCGAGCUGCACUCACACGUGCUGAAAAAGAGAAGUCAAGCAUCCUGGAGAAUCUUAGUACACUAAGGGGUAACAGCAAGUCGCUGCAGGAUCAAUUAGCUUCAAGCAGAGUAAGUUUCUCUUUUCUACCACUGGCCUUAUAUUCCCAUGCCUAAUUAAUUGGUCUCAUUUUUUCUUAAUUUGUUCCUCUUCCGUUUUUGCAUUCAAGGUUUUGCAAGAUGACGCUAUAAAACAGAAGGAUUCAUUGCUUUCGGAAGUUACUAAUCUCCGGAAUGAGCUCCAACAAGUAAGGGAUGAUCGUGAUCGCCAAGUUGAACAGUCACGGAAGCUAACUGAGGAAAUCGGAAAGUACCAGGAGAAUGUUGGGAAGUCAUCGCAAGAGCUAGACAUCUUAAUAAUGAAAUCAGGAUCGUUGGAGGUUAGUACUUUUUCGAAGUAUUGGAUGUCAGUUAAAAGUUGCAUUUCUCGAAUUCUUACCUCAUAUUUGGUUAGCUGACAUUUCAAUUUUAAUCCUUCAGGAAACAUGUUCAUUGCAAAAGGAGCGAAUAAGAAUACUAGAGCAACAAUUAGCAAUCGCCAAUGAAAAACAAAAGGUAGGGGGAUUAUCAAGUUUAUAUCGGAAGUUAAUGAAGUGCAUUACCAUCAGAUACUCUUUGUUUCAAAUAGCUUCUUUGAUAGAUAUUUGUAACUGUGAAUACAGAUGGCAGAUGCAUCAGUAUCUCUUACUAGAACAGAGUUUGAGGAGCAGAAGCAUCUACUAUGUGAAUUACAAGACCGCCUUGCAGACAGGGAACAUCAGCUGUGCGAGGGAGAGUUAUUGCGGAAGAAGCUUCAUAACACUAUUCUGGUAAGAAAAUGUUUCUUUUGGUACGAUUUUAUAUGUGGCAGUCUUGAUAUGAGCUAAGAGAAGUUGUAAACUCAGGAACUAAAAGGAAAUAUACGGGUGUUCUGCCGAGUGCGUCCCUUGUUACCAGAUGAUGGAGGACGACAUGAAGCAACUGUGAUAGCCUAUCCUACUUCAACAGAAGCUCGAGGAAGAAGUGUUGAUUUGGUUCAGAGUGGUAUGACUAUAGCCUGACUUGAAUUUUUUUUUCUUUUUUUUGCUACAGAUGACUAUUCCCACAUUAAACCUUUUUUUCCUGCCUCUUGUUAUCCUAUAUGUCAUCAGGGAACAAACAUCCUUUCACCUUUGACAAAGUUUUCAAUCACGAAGCUUCCCAGGAGGAAGUAUUCUUUGAAAUAUCUCAACUUGUGCAGAGUGCAUUGGAUGGAUAUAAGGUCUAUUCUCUUCAUUAAUUUAUUUAUUCUGGAUAUACUUGCUAUGUUAAUAAUUUUCUAGUUAAAGGAACUCGUUUGAAGUUGGAGUAUUUUGUAGAUGUAACUCCUUUUUUCAGUGUCAAAUUUGAAGACAGGUUCUAUUACUGAUGCCUUUGUUUUGAAUAUUUUGUGAUACAGGUUUGUAUCUUUGCCUAUGGUCAGACAGGUUCUGGAAAGACUUACACCAUGAUGGGCAGGCCUGAGACGCCAGAGCAGAAAGGACUGAUCCCGCGAUCACUUGAACAGAUAUUCCAAGCCAGCCAAUCACUCGGUGCACAAGGCUGGAAGUACAAAAUGCAGGUGUACAUUUCAGGCCAUAUUGCUGCUUGAUUUUACUGGCAUCACCUUUUCCCAACUUUAUUUUUUGGAUUUCAAAUUUUUCUUUAAAAUUUAGGUAUCUAUGUUGGAAAUAUAUAAUGAGACUAUCAGAGAUUUGCUCUCUUCAAAUCGAACAACAUCUCUGGAAUUGGUGCGAGCAGACAGUGGCACCUCAGGAAAGCAAUACACAAUCACACAUGACGUAAAUGGACACACCCAUGUCAGCGACUUGACAAUAUUUGAUGUAUGCAGCAUUGGAAAGAUAUCCUCUCUCUUGCAGCAGGCUGGUCAGAGCAGGUAUUGCCUUGGAACUUUUAUAAUGAUUUCUGGCCUGUUUUGCUAAGCCACGGAGUAUGAGAAUAUAGUAAUAGUCUUGUUCUUGUAGGCAUACAUGGUAAUUGAAAUUUGACUUUCUUGAAUGCAUAACGUUACAAAUAAAUAACUCUGUAUCAGUUAAACUAAACAUGGAGUGGAUUCUCUUUAUGCAGGUCAGUAGGUAAGACUCAAAUGAAUGAGCAAUCAUCUAGAAGUCACUUUGUGUUUACUAUGCGGAUUUCAGGUGUUAAUGAGGUAAUAAUUUCUUUACCAUCUGGAAUUGGUUCUUGCAUUAUAGACUUUCUUUCCUACUUUGAAAUACUUUAUUUAUCAACACAUCCCACCUCUUUCAGAGCACCGAACAGCAGGUACAAGGUGUUCUCAAUCUAAUCGAUCUUGCUGGAAGCGAGAGGCUAUCAAAGAGUGGGGCAACUGGAGACCGAUUAAAGGAGACACAGGUUUUUUGCUGCUUCCAAACAUAAUUUUUUCCAAGCUAUUGGCUUCAGCAAAUCGGUACUGAUCUUUGUUUUGCACUACCACAGGCUAUAAACAAAAGCUUAUCAGCUCUGAGUGAUGUUAUAUUUGCACUGGCUAAGAAAGAAGAUCAUGUACCUUUUAGAAACUCGAAGUUAACUUAUCUGCUCCAGGUUUGUUUUCGCUGUUUAUAACAUUUGUGUCACAUAAAUUUUUAAAAUGUUGUUGUAGAUUAAGUAACAAUGAUGUAUCUUUGAACAGCCUUGCUUAGGGGGAGAUUCAAAAACCUUGAUGUUCGUAAACAUUUCCCCUGACCCAUCUUCUGCUGGAGAGUCUCUUUGUUCUCUUCGGUUUGCUGCAAGGGUGAACGCAUGUGAAAUUGGUAUACCUAGGAGACAAACUUCACAAAAGCUCAUUGACUCUCGCCUAAGCUACGGCUAAAACAGUUCAAAAAUAUUUGCCUAGUAGUAAUUCACAGCUCUUCUCAUGUGGGUUUUUGACACAUCUAUCUCUUCUCUUGUAACCUCUCAACCCCCAUUACUAACAAUUGAUUCGGGAUCUAUAUGAUUGUGGAGCAGCUUGCUGUCUUAGCAAUGUAGCUUUCUCCAAGUUGUAUGAGAAACAUGAUCUUCUGCUAUUGAAUGUUAAAUGUAUUUUUUUCAGAUAGCUAUUCUUGUUCAUUUUCUUGCAGAACAUAAGACUUAUCACAUAACAUUAGCAGCUACUUAACUGUGACGCAUAAACUGUUGUUUCCAGUGAAGGUCUUAGCUAUAGUUACAUCCCCAAGUUAUUAACUUUUACAAAACAUAUAAACAUUACAAUGCCAUUUUGCUCCAAAUUUACCUCUUACAUAGAAGUGUCAAUUCAGAGCCUCUGUUGUGAAAACAAGGAAAAAGAAGACGAAAAUAGAAACCAGUGCUUUUGUUUGGAUCUCUGUUGUUGAUGAUCCAUAUGUCUUAACAUGGCAGCUUGAAACCCAUGUCUUUGCCUGCAACAUAAUCAGUCCAAACAUCAAGAGCUCCAAAACUUGUCAUAAGGACUGUGCUUAGAGACAUCACUGUCCCAACCGAGAACACUAUAAUAGAAGCUCUUCCAAACUGAGCUACAGCUUUCUGAACCAAAACAAGUCCAAGAAGCGAAGCAACGAAGCAAAUCAAGGAAAACACAUAAGCUGUGUCUGUGUUUUGCAUUCCUAACAGCAAGUAUUGAACUGCAGACAUUGUUGCAGAGAAGAACACCAUGAAAGAAGUAGUUGCUGCUGUUAUCUGCAUCACUUAUCAUAUACUCGAUUAAAACACUUAAAAAGAAUUAGAAAGGUGGUGAGACAAUUUGCUUUUUUUCUUUUUAUAUACCUGUGGUGGUAUCCCAGUUUGAAGAAGAAGAGGGCUUAUAAGCAUUCCACCUCCAAUACCGAAUAUACCGCCCAAUAAACCUGCUAAAAAUGACAUUACCGGGAACAUUAACCGCGUGGACUGGUCCAGUCUUGUAUCUUCUUGAUUUUUCUGCUCAUGUAAGAUGAUAAUGUUUAGCAUCUGAUAUGUUUUUGUUUGAAUUCAAUCUGGUUUGUAGCUAAGUGUUGCAUUCACCUGAUUACUUGGGGAACUUUCUUGGCGACUUUCUGUUCUCGAGAGAGCCAGCUUUGUGAAAAUCAAAGCAAGAGGGAUCUGAAGUGAAAGCAGAAUCCAAUACUCCACACCACAAGGCUUGAUCGUUAUGAUUCCCUGCACACAUACAUAAACAGAAUCAGUCGACAUUUUUCGCUAUAGCAAAACCGAGAAAGCCUAUUAUAUAUCAUUACCUUGCCAUCUUUAUUCCCACGGAGGAGAUAGAUAACAAAGAAAGACGCCCAAACAAUAACCAAGACACCAAGUUUCGUCCAUGGAAGCUUUGAUUUGUUAUUUUUCACUUGAGCUUCAAGUAAAGGUGCUUUAAGGUUCUUAGUAUCCUCCUCUAUUUCGCCUCGUCCUUUCUCGGGUCUCUCGUGUCCUUUUCCUUUCGUAGUCUCUGACUCAAGUUUCCAAAACUUGACUCCAUUUCUACAAGUCUUCAAGCUAGACCAAGCGAGAAACACAGCGAAAAGAACAGUGAUGAGCCACUCAGGCAAAACUCUGUUGCAGAUAACACCAAUACUCACUCCUAGAAGCAUACAAGGCUCAAGAAGCAAGGCUAAGUCAUAAUCAAGUAAGGCUUUUCCACCAAAGAGAUUGCUGAUUACAUUUGCAAUGGAUCCACCGGUUACCAUAAAAGCAGAGAAGCUUGAAGCUGUUUUCAAGUCAAGACCUGCAACUAUAGUCAUGAUUGGAAUGAAUAAACCUCCACCACCGAUUCCACCUGCGCUCGAGAUUAAGGCAGCGAGGAAGCAAAACACUCCAGCCACAAUGAUUGCUGAAGAUAGCUUGAGUUCUGCAGCACUUGAUUCUUUCAGUGAUGUUCUCCAUUGUUGGACCUUGUAUAGCAGCUUUUGAUGAUAUAUUGUAGGUGGAUUCUCUUGAUUGAUCUCUUCUUGUUGAUUCGCAUUGAUGGCAAAUACACAUAGAAGAAGAAGAAAAAGGACAAAAAGGGUCUUCAUUGUUUUCGCCUGAAAGCGUGGAAACUUUUUCUUGUUUGCUUGUGAUCUAAUUAAAACCAUUGUUGUUCUUUAUAUUGAAAGCUUCAAAGAGUGGUAUGCACAUUUCAUUUUGCAAGUUGCUUUCGGACGCGUAGGCUGCAAGUAAUCUCAUUGACUUACGUACAAAACAAUGAUAUUUUAAGGUAGAUUCAUUAAUUUACCUGUGAUCUGUGGCAAUAUACAGACGAAGAACAGUUCUAAGAAGAAUGGGUGAAGAAACAGUUAUUGUCUGAAACUGUGGAAUAUGUCGUCUUAGAUAAGGAGAAAAAAAAAACAGUUAUUUAAUGGUAUUGGAUUUGACAUGGUGAAUGAUUGUGUAAUGUGUUUGAUCCUAAUGACAAGUCUCUCUUUGCAAUUGUUUAUGUAUUAAAAGACAGCUUUUAAUCUGUUUUUAAGAAGGGGACAAGUAAGCAAAGGAGCGUCUCCUCUGUACUUCAUGGAACAUGAAGAAUCCAGGUUAGUCCAAUAUUAAUUUACAAUUAAAAAGAAAACAUGAAAGAUAUAUAUAUGUUCUACAUGACAAGUCUCUGUUUGCAUUUGGGAACAAGUUGUUCCGAACAACCGGUUCGGUUAGUAACCUGGUUUAAAUUUGAAUAUUAAAUCGGGUUUAUUAUUGGUCGGCAAAAAAAANNNNNNNNNNNNNNNNNNNNNNNNNNNNNNNNNNNNNNNNNNNNNNNNNNNNNNNNNNNNNNNNNNNNNNNNNNNNNNNNNNNNNNNNNNNNNNNNNNNNNNNNNNNNNNNNNNNNNNNNNNNNNNNNNNNNNNNNNNNNNNNNNNNNNNNNNNNNNNNNNNNNNNNNNNNNNNNNNNNNNNNNNNNNNNNNNNNNNNNNNNNNNNNNNNNNNNNNNNNNNNNNNNNNNNNNNNNNNNNNNNNNNNNNNNNNNNNNNNNNNNNNNNNNNNNNNNNNNNNNNNNNNNNNNNNNNNNNNNNNNNNNNNNNNNNNNNNNNNNNNNNNNNNNNNNNNNNNNNNNNNNNNNNNNNNNNNNNNNNNNNNNNNNNNNNNNNNNNNNNNNNNNNNNNNNNNNNNNNNNNNNNNNNNNNNNNNNNNNNNNNNCUACAUAAAUUAAUUGCUUUUUCUUGUUAUAUUUUUAUCUCACUUCCGUAUAUUGUAAAUCAUAUAGGCCCUUUAGUUAUCUGCUUUCUUUCUUUCUCUAUCGUCACUAACAAUUCUUUCUUUCUUUUUUGUUUUCUAUGGAUUAAUAACUUGAUUUAGGUAACCAAUGAUUUAAUCAAAAUAAUUUUAAAUGAUCAUUUAUUUCCAAUUUUCCCAUAUAAUUUUACAAGAAAAAUACAAAAUUUAAAUUUAGCUUAAAUAGCAACAACUUUGUUCAAAGCAAUGACCGUCUCAGCAUAGUACUAUAUAAAACCUAGCUUUGUAUAAAUAAGAUAAUUGAAUAACUUUAUUUCAAAUUAUGGAAGUAUAUUGCACAUUAUUAAUUUUAGUAAAAAAAAAGUACAAACUACUUUUCUUAAAAUGUUGUGUAGUAUAGUCUUUUAAAGAAAGAAAGUAUUUAUUUUCUUUUAAAUUAGUAAUAGAUUAAAAAUGUUGAAAUAUAAUUGAUUAAAAAUGAACAUGUGGUAAUUUUAAUUGGUUAAUUUUUUUAAUUUCUUACUUGUUGAAAUUUUAUCAUUAGAUUUCACAUGUGUCGCCGGGAUCAUAUAUAUAAACUAGUAACUAUACUUUAUAUAAUAAGAUUCUUUAAAAAAUUGAAGUAUAUUAUUUUUUAAGUUAAAAGUAAUUAUUAUUUCUUUUAAAACUAUUAGAAUAUUAAACUUGUUUUAUUUUUAAAAUAAGUCAAAAUCUUACCAGUGUCACACGUACGAUCAUAUGAUUGACUAGAUUUGAAAAUCGACACUUUUUAUAUAGGAUGACUAGUAUAGGGUAAAAUAAUAUUUAAUAUAAUAAAUCAUCUUAGUUAUAGUAGAAUACUGUAUAUACAUUUAAUCAAAAAAAAAUCAUCACGUUUUAAGAGUACACAAUGUUUGUGUUUGAAUCUUUGAUAUAAAAUUAUGUUUUAAACACAAAACGCGUUUAACUAAUUUUUCUGUAACCAAAAACGUCUUCAAGAUGGGCAAAAGAUAGCCGUGAAAAGGUUAUCGAUACAUUCAUCAGGAGAUGGCAAAUGCAGAGUUUAGGACGGAAGUACUCUCUAAUGACCAAACUGCAACACAAGAAUCUUGUUAAACGCUUCGUUUUCUCCAUCAAAGAUUCUGAAAUACUUCUUAUCUAUGAGUUUAUCCCACAUACAAGUCUUAAUCGGUUCUUAUUCGGUAAAUAUAGUCUCUCAUUCGAUCUUUUCUCCUUUCACAAAUUAAAUUAGCUUUUCUCUGUUUCAUUUUUUUUUCUUCUGCUAAUGAAUGUUGAUCCUUUCAAGCAGAAGCAAUUAGACUGGGAAAACCGGUUCAGUAUCAGCACACGGAAUUUCCCGGGGAUUGCUUUACCUACACGAAGGCUCAGAGUUUCUGAUAGUCCACCGUGAUCUCAAAUCCUCCAAUGUGCUUUUAGAUGAACUAAUGCUACCUAAGAUCUCAGAUUUUGGAACGGCAAGACAAUUCGGUUUCGAUAUAACUCAAGCAAUAACAAGAAGAGUUGCCGGAACUUAAUAAGUCUAGCUACUCAAUCUCAAUCUCUCAUCUUUCUUGUUUCUGUCGUGGAUAUAUAUGGCUCUAGAGUAUGCAAUGCACGGAAGAUUCUGAGUGAAAAAAACAGAUGUUUACAGUUUUGGAGUUCUUGUUCCUGAGAUCAUUACAGGUAAAAGAAACAGUGGAUCAGGGCUUGGUGAAGGCACAGAUCUCCCAACUCUUGUAAGUAACAAAAAGAAUAGACAACAACAGAUUAACAAAUCCAAGGACUUAUUGAUCGAGUGAACGUUUUGUCUCUCUUUGUUUUGUUGCAGGCUUGGCAAAAUUAUGUUGAAGGAACAUCAAUGGAUCUAAUAGACUCUAUGUUUUUGAUAUAUUACUCUAAAACACGAUUAGUGCAAUGCCUAGAGAUCGCUCUGUCUUGUGUUCAAGAGACGGCUUGAAGAGGACCCAAAACCAGCAGCUAGCCAAGUCAGAUUUAUGGACAAGCACGUUCGAAAACAGAUAUCUAACAUUCCGACAAUAGGAGAAUACAAGUUGCUUCAAGAGUCUAAUAGUUCAUACAUACUCUUGUUUUUAUAAAUUGGUUAAGUUCCAGACCGGCUUCCAAGUCUAUUUUUAUAACUCAUAUUAGGUCAAGUACCUUUUUCCACACAUCAAGUACAAUUAGCGUGACAGACAAGGAAGGUUUCAACUAGGUUUGAUGUGAUCAAUUAUAUUAAUCAGUGAAAAAUUGAGGAUUCGAAUCAUCGAAUGAGCCUAAGAGGUCAAGUUUGCAGCAGGACUGAAAGGGACGCUCUAUCAAAUCAGAUUCUUAAAAGUCAAAAAGCAAACCAAACAUCAUCAGCUUUGGCGAUUAUGUUCUGGAACCAAACCAAAUACCGAAGACCAACAAUGGAUUCAGCUUAAGAACAUUAGACAUUAUAAAUAAAAAAUAAAGGCGUAAGAAAAUGGAGGACGACUUUGAAAACAGACAGUUAAUAAUACUCAUUAGUAUAUCAAGUACGAUUAAUCACGAGGUAAGUAUGGCAAUAACCUCUGCAUCCAGUCUUGGAAGGGGAAGACCACAAUUCUUAUUUCUGACUAGUCGGCCUUUAUAAGGACAUUACCCAAAGACAUGAGACUCUCACAAUGAUUGGGAAACCAAUCAAUAUUGUGACGGAUGCCUUCCAAAAUUCCAUUAUGAAUCCAGAAUUCUUCGUCUCCAAUCCCUUCAUACACGAUCCUCCUUGCACGCUUUCUCUUUGGAUCAUAAUAUAAAACAGCAAAUGCUUCAAAAGUUGUUGCAGUAAAGAUAAACUCACCAGUAUCAUGAGUAACACCUCUCAUCAGCAGUUGGCAUUUAAAGAUCGGGUCAUUUUGAGGAAAGCUUGGAAAAGGCCAAACAAAGUUGUUGAGCGACCAUUCUUGUUUGUCUCCAUCACCUAAAACCCAAAAUCUUAUACAUGAAAAAUCUAAUUCAGAGCAAACCCAUGCUAAUUUUCCUUGGUAGUUGAGCAUCAAGUUACCAAGUCCAUGAUCAUCAGGUGGUUUUUUUAUUGUGUUGAACUCUUCGUACCUCACGUCGAAGCUCAUAAGGACAUUUUCAAAUAUCAUAGUAUCACCAUCUCCUUUGAAACGUAUCUCCGCUUCAUAAUACACGUGCCCGUUGAUGCAUAUACCUAGUCGUCCCAUGGUGGGUAGAGGGAUAUGUGUAUAUGAAGGGCUAUUUUGGGCCACUCUCCAUGAUUCUUGAGGUCCCAAUGUAAAAACAAAAGGAUCGUGGUAGCCUCUGUGGGUGCCUGAGAUGCACAAUACUUUAUACUUAUCCUCGACCGGAUCGUGUCCUAAACAGCUACGUGUAUAGUACUUAACUAUGGGUUUGGGUGGGUCGGGUAAGGUAACAUGUUGUCUCAUUGAAGGAUUCCAAACUACGAUCUCGUGAAAAUCGCCAAAACUCACCAACCCGUGGACAGAUCCGGAGCCUGGAUCGUGAUAAUGACGAUAAGCACCUUCAGGGUAUUUUAUCUGACAACGGUCCACAUAAGAGCAAUAUGCGGAGUCAACCGAGAGCUCAUGUUGGGGCAGUGAGAUAAAUAAACGUUUGUCUCCUGCUUUGACGCAGACCAGAAGACAAAGCCGACUUGAAGACUGAAACGCGAACGACCUGAUGAAAUCUGGACGAGUGGAGAUGGAUGACCAUAGCUUCGAGACGACACGGAACCUCACAGCAGAUUUAGCGGGAAGUCUCAAGAGUAUAUCAUGAAUCAGAUCAAGAGGAAUCAGCUCGAAAGUCUUACCAAUAAGACUCUCUUCUUCUGUAGGUUGAUUUCUUCUUCUCUCCCCAUAUUCUGUUUCUUCUUCACCUCUUCUAUCCAUCGGAGGCGGCGACCCACUCUUUAGAAAGCCUAAUGUACGUGCAAAGUAAGCCAAACUACGAACCAAAACGAAAAGCCCUCACGUGGAAAUAUAUAUAUAUAAGUAGACUAAUCAUCUUUUGAGGAGGUGUAUUUUGUAAUUGUAAUAUUUUCUUUUCGUUAACGUGUUACGUGUUACGUGUUACUUCAAUAGAGAAAGAUUCCAAAUCCUAUGAAUUACGUCAUCCGACUUACUCCAACCACUCUCAUAGACUCAUUUACCAAGAUAUGUAUCUAAUUUUGACAAUGAUAUAUGUAGUAAGUGCUUCUGUAAUAAGUCUUCCUUUUUUAUUAAAAGCUACAUGUCAGUGUCCAAGUCAAUAGCUUGCGGGCUACUUUACCAUAAGACCGGCAAAAGGAAAAAAUAAAAAGCGUACAAAUGCUUGUUGAUGAAUGAAUAUUCGGAACCACUUAUUAACUCAUUCAUUCGCGCAAACUCGUACGUGUAUAAGUAUUGUUGGUGGAUCUUUGUAUUUUAUAGGACAGAGCAAUGCAGAGUUUAAGUAUUCUUUAAUGACCAAGCUGCAACACAGGAAUCUUGUUAAACUCUAUAAAAGAAUCUGAAACAGAAAGACUUCUUGUGAUCUUUUCGAUUUCUGUAAACGAUGUUUCUCUCACAGCUAUGUCUGGGCGUUAAGUGCUUGCAAUCACAGAAUGUUUCUAAUCCAAUAAAUGAACGAAGAAUAGACAAUUCAAUAUUCAAACCCUAACUUGACAUUUUUUAGGACAAACCCCUUUUACAAAAAAAAAAAUGUUUAUUCUACAAAAGUUUUAAACUUUUUCAGUUGGGGAAAUAAAAAGUUUCGGGAUUUAAAUACCAACUCUGUUCCCUUACAUUCUUCUUCUUCUUCAUUUCUGUGACUAUGGCGGCAGCUACUCUUCGGAAAUUUUCAUCCAACUAUAUACGUAACUCUCUUCAAGGAAUCUUUUUGAGCAGACCCUUUAUCCGGAAACAGCUUCUUCUUCCUUCGAGUUCUCAAAGUUUAUCUUUUUCCUCAGAUAGUCACUUUGGCUCUGCGUCUACUUAUGUUUCUUCGUAUGCAGGUGAGCUUAAUUUAGGAUUUAUCGGUUGAAUUCGAGUUUCGGUGCCACUCAGUUCGAUAAAUUUAUUAAGGUCACCAACUGUUUGUGGAAAUGCGUCUGAGAGCAUGAGUUUUUUUAAUCUGUAUCAGUGACAGUCUUCUCUGUUUGCUCUAUAGACUAUAGACAUAAUCCAUAAGCCAUAUAUUGCACUUGAUGUAUGAGAAUAUAGCGCUGCUUCAUAUGUUAAAAUUUUAAGAUUUACAGAACCGUGAUGAGACAAAGCUUAGCUAAAAGUUCUAAGCAUAAAGAUACAUAAGUAAGACCUUCCAUGAUUUUUGAUGAACUUGUAGCUUUUACUAAGAUUGAAUAUAAAUAAACUGAUGCAUCUUACUCUCUAAGAUGGUAUAGUCUUAGAGACUUUUGGAAUCCUUGUAUUUAGAUGUUGAAACUUACUGUAAGACUUGCCAUUGAUUGUUAUCAAGGAUCAGCGACAAACGGUGGUAUUAUCAGUGAAGGGUUUCUAAGAUGGAGAAAUGGAGGAGGGACAUGUCACCGCUCGGCUGUUAUUGAUUACUCGGCUUUGGUUGAGGUUGGUGCUGUAGUUCAUGAAAAUGCGGUCUUAGGUGCAGAGGCUCAUGUAGGAUCUGGUACUGUACUUGGACCAUCAGUUGAAAUCGGUCCUUCCACAAGAAUUGGGUAACUUUCUUGUACACGUUUCGUAUAGACCGAUGUUGUAUUCAGCAUCUUUAAAAGUUUCUGUUUGAUGAGUUUCUUUUGCUCUAUCCAGAUAUAAUGUUUCAAUUAGCAACUGUAGUAUUGGUGAUUCAUGUGUGAUCCACAAUGGAGUCUGCAUAGGUCAAGAUGGUAUGAACCAAUAGAUUAUCCGAGAUCAUAGGAUUGAAGAGGAUUUGGUUUGAGAUUAGGUCUUUUAAUUGCUCGUUUAUUAUUCUUUCAGGCUUUGGUUUUUAUGUUGAUGAACAUGGAAAUAUGGUGAAGAAGCCUCAAGUAAUAAUCCUCAAUUGCAUUUCUUCACUCUGAAUCAAUCAACAGUUAUUGGUUCAUAACUCAUUCUAAUCUCUUUCUUUCUUUGUCCUCUUUAGACAUUAAACGUGAAGAUAGGGAAUCGUGUAGAAAUUGGAGCAAAUACUUGCAUUGAUCGAGGCAGGUAACAGUUCCGCAUCUAUUGACUAACUUCCAUCAGUGCACUAUGCGCGGUUUCAGUAGCUCUGUAUAACAACAAAUAAUGCAGCUGGAGAGAUACAGUAAUCGAAGAUGACACUAAGAUAGACAACUUAGUGCAGGUUUGGUCUCUUUUUUUGUUUUUGGCCUUUAUAAAAUUGAUCAUAAAACAGUAUCAUGCUUAUUUUCUUUCUUCUUUUUUGGCAGAUAGGUCAUAAUGUGAUCAUAGGAAAAUGUUGCUUGCUUUGUGGUCAAGUAGGCAUAGCUGGUUCAGUAACGUACAUAUCUGAACCCUUUUUGGUUGCAUUGAUAGAAACAAUUUUUUGAAGUUUUUCAAGACUCAAAAAGUCAAUAAACAAAUCUGCAGAAUUGGUGACUAUGUGGCUUUAGGAGGACGAGCAGCUGUUCGAGACCAUGUCUCCAUUGUAUCCAAGGUAUAAUAGGCUUUAACCGGAUUCAAAAAGGCAGUUGUCUUGAUACAGUUUGGUUCACCAAAACUUUUCUUGUGUUCACUGUUUAGGUUCGACUCGCAGCUAAUAGUUGUGUUACUAGAAACAUCAGUGAGCCAGGGGAUUUUGGAGGUUUUCCUGCUGUAAGCAAUCUCUUGAGUUAAAUCUGUUUAUCUUUUUUUCCAACAUUUCAUCAAGAAUCAGUAAAACAAUAAACCGAAUUUAUCGAUAUCCAACUAAAACAGAGCUGAAAACAUGAUUUCCAAGAAGACUAAUAGAAAUCUUGUUUCGACUUCAGGUUCCAAUUCACGAAUGGAGAAAGCAGAUUGUUCGAGCUCAGAUAUCUAACAAGAGAAGAGAACCUAAAUCGAUCUAGUCACAAUGUAUUUGUAUAAUGUCACUUCGUUUGAUUUUCCUAAACUAAAUUUUGCUUCAUGUUUGUCUUGUGGUGGUAAAGAUACACAUUGAUCAGAAACACAAACCAGUAACUUAGAUGUACUGCUCAACUAAACAAUAAUUUUUUCUUUGACCGGACUAAAUCACUAAACAAUGAUGUUUGGAGAACUCAAACUACUAAACAAUAAUAUCUGUUAUAAAGCAUUUUGAGUUUCCUUUCCCGUGCCACAUUAAGAGAACUUUGUGAAGGAAAAUCCAAAACAAAAUUUACCCGAGAUUUGAGGACUCAAACCAACGGUCUCAAUUCUGAAGAGUUGUUUUGCCAUAUCAACAAAAACAAAGUAAGAAAGGAAAAAGGACAGUGAAAAGAGAAGACAGAGAUUAGUUUUGUUUAAAAUGAAUCUCGAUGAUGGACUUGUUUUGUUUUUUACGUCAAGACCAAGUAACUGGUUUAAAACUUCAAAGUUAAUAGUACAACAAAAUGUGAAUUAUUAUGACCAUACACAAUAUAAUUGUCUCUCUCUAUCUAUAUAUAUACACAUAUAUGAUAUAGGAAAACUUUGGAUAUUUAUUAUUUUAUUUGGUAGUAUUAUUAGUAUGGGACUUCAUUAUUCACAAAACUUCAAAUGUAUUCUUGUGAGACAGCUUCUCUGGCUACGAUUCAUUAGUAAUGAGCCACUUCCUUUAAUCAAUCAAAUGGUUUUUUCUUAUAUUUUCUCUAAUCUCUUUCGUAUUUUGCGGUCCACCAUGUUAUUGCAUGGUUUUAUGGUAGCCACUAGUAUUAUGUUUUCUUAGAAUCAGUCCAAAUCGUUAAUAUGGUCUAGUACAUCAUAAAGAUGUUUAGUUUUUGCAAAUCGAACCGAAUAUCGUAUAAACAGAAAGAAAUAAAAUAUAAAAGUUCAAACCAAUUUUGACGUUAAACUAAUGUUUUCAAGGAUAUGGGAACAUCCCUAUACAUAUUUUUGUAUUUUCGAAUCAAUUAUUGGAUUUACGGUGUAAGGUUACUGUCAGGUCUGAUCUUAACUUUGAUUAAAGCUUGGUACGUACAAAGCUUGACUGGAUCAGAAUGCAUCCUAGAUUUUUUUUUUUUUUUGACAUAAUAAGACAAGAAUCAUAACUAUCAAUGUUAUUUUUAUUGUUUCUACUAAAUUGUAAAAUAUGAGCAUCACAUACUAAGAUUGUUAUUGGUUUAAUAUGAGCAUCAUCACAUACUAAGAAUCAUAACUAUGAUCGUAUAGUACUGUCAUUAGACUGGUAAUUUUAAACUUAAGUCUCAAACCAAUGAAUCUGAUCGACAUACCAAAUCCCAAGCCACAUAGAGUCGAUCUGUUCUUUACUUGGACAACCUUGCAAACUUAGGAAGUGUAUAAUAUUAUACGAAGAGAUGAUAUGUCUAAGCCAGCACAAGUCCUUUGGAAAAUAUCUAAACGUACAAUACAAACACCUUCUAGAUAAUAUAUAUAUAUAUAUAUAUAUAUAUUUUUAGUUAUUNNNNNNNNNNNNNNNNNNNNNNNNNNNNNNNNNNNNNNNNNNNNNNNNNNNNNNNNNNNNNNNNNNNNNNNNNNNNNNNNNNNNNNNNNNNNNNNNNNNNNNNNNNNNNNNNNNNNNNNNNNNNNNNNNNNNNNNNNNNNNNNNNNNNNNNNNNNNNNNNNNNNNNNNNNNNNNNNNNNNNNUCUCAGUUGGUUUUUGGUAAAUAUGGUCAAACGGUAAAAAUCAGAUUAAAAAAAAAGAGUAAAAAAAUUUACAGACUGAUCAAUUGUUUUGGAAUUUCCUGUUCGGGUAAACAAAAUGAUUUCCUUUUUUAGAAAAAAACGAAACUUAUUAUUAAACUGCAAACGGAUUAUGAUAUUGGACAACAUCUUAAAAUGACUUGUUUGUUUGCAAUUAUUGUUGAUGAUGUGCUGGUAGCUAAGCUAUAGUUUAAAUAGCAAUUAGGUAUAUAGUCUAUUUUUUCAUUUCCGAUUUAAUAUCUACGUAUAGCACUUUCGAAAAUUGCAAAUAGUUUCGUUCUCAAAUUGAUGUGAAAUUAAGUGGGGUUUUGACAUAAAUUUAUAUGACUUAGCACUUAGCACAAUUUUACAUUAUAUGAAUUGACGUAACUUAACUUUGUUAGCGUUGACCACAAAUUAUUUCUGUUGUUGUUAAUUAUGUUGCCUACAUUGAACUUGUUAAUAACUUAAUUGUUGUUAAUUGCCAACUUGAUACUACUAUUUUCACUUAUUUAAAGCUUAAAUUAUGACAUCUAAAUAAAAUGAUACUCCAGUUCCAAACAUCAUUAUAAAUAGUUCCAUACAAAAUGUUAGUGGCUAUUAUCUCAAAAAUCUAUUGUCUACACUUGAAAUAAAAUAUUUGUGAUUGACUUAGUAUUAAUUUAAGUUUUUUUCAUAAUGAAACCCAACAAUGAUAUAUAUGACAAUUUACAAAAUUACAACAUGGAAAUAUUAAAAAGUGGAAGAAAGCUUUGGAGUCAAAAUGAAAAAAAAAGAAAGAGUGCCUUCAGAAGCAAGCAGGUCAUCAAAAUAGGGAAGUUAGUUGCUCACCACCCUUCAUGAUUAUUCAUCGCAUAUUCCUCAAAUUAAUAUAACCAACUUCGAUUUUUUUUAAAUCAAAAACCAAAUAAUCCUGAUGUCAUAUUAUUAUAUUGAGAAAUCCUAACACUGAUUAGAUUCUAAAUUAAUAAUUGUGUUCGUAGAAAACAAACAAAAUUCUAUCUAUACAUGGAUAAUUCAGCCCACAGCACAUAUGAGAACUAUGAUCGAAUUUUCUAAUGAAAUGUAAUAUUUUUGUUUUUCAUAGAAAAACUGUAAUUCAUUUUUGAUUAAAUGAAUAUUCUUCUACAUAUUUUUGUUAAUAUAGCUAAGUUUACAUUUCCAGAACAAACACUAAA